GGAGGGGUACCCAAGCGGUCAACGGGGGCAGACUGUAAAUCUGCUGGCUAAGCCUUCGGAGGUUCGAAUCCUCCCCCCUCCACCA
RNAcentral lists this transfer RNA (85 nucleotides) under Gammaproteobacteria bacterium. RNAcentral describes it as "tRNA-Tyr". It matches the Rfam family "tRNA". Rfam says of the family: Transfer RNA (tRNA) molecules are approximately 80 nucleotides in length. Their secondary structure includes four short double-helical elements and three loops (D, anti-codon, and T loops). The record is from RNAcentral. Lineage: Bacteria; Pseudomonadati; Pseudomonadota; Gammaproteobacteria.